GGGGUAUGCGCAAAAAUUUGAAUUUCAGAUUUUUGGUUUUAAGGGUUUAAGAAGAGAGAAUAAAUUAAAAAAAAUAUUUUUUUUCUAUAUUUCUUCUAUCAUUUUAUCUCCUCCAGAAGCCAUCUUCAAUCUCUAAAAAGAUUUCAGAGAUUUGAAGAAAGAAUCCAGAUCAGCCAAAAAGAAGGUCUUCAUGCGAGUUAGCACUUCCGAGAAGAUCGAUCAGAUUGAGGCUU
Molecule: long non-coding RNA, 233 nt
Filed under: Elaeis guineensis (African oil palm)
Lineage: Eukaryota; Viridiplantae; Streptophyta; Magnoliopsida; Arecales; Arecaceae
Description: long non-coding RNA (EGUI_LNC053152)
Source: RNAcentral